RNAcentral lists this ribosomal RNA (510 nucleotides) under uncultured bacterium. RNAcentral describes it as "bacterial SSU rRNA". It matches the Rfam family "Bacterial small subunit ribosomal RNA", at positions 1 to 507 of the family's 1533-position model. The record is from RNAcentral.
GUACGAGUUUGAUCCUGGCUACAGGAUGAACGCUAGCUACAGGCUUAACACAUGCAAGUCGAGGGCAGCACAGUGUAGCAAUACAGUGGGUGGCCGACCGGCGCACGGGUGCGUAACGCGUAUCCAACCUUCCCGUUACUCAGGGAUAGCCUUCCGAAAGGGAGAUUAAUACCUGAUGGUGUUGAAAUUCCGCAUGUUAUUUCAACUAAAGAUUUAUCGGUAACGGAUGGGGAUGCGUGACAUUAGGUAGAUGGCGGGUAACGGCCCACCAUGCCUACGAUGUCUAGGGGUUCUGAGAGGAAGGUCCCCCACACUGGAACUGAGACACGGUCCAGACUCCUACGGGAGGCAGCAGUGAGGAAUAUUGGUCAAUGGUCGGAAGACUGAACCAGCCAAGUAGCGUGAAGGAUGAAGGUUCUAUGGAUUGUAAACUUCUUUUAUACGGGAAUAAAACCUCCCACGUGUGGGAGCUUGUAUGUACCGUAUGAAUAAGCAUCGGCUAACUCCGUG